Molecule: ribosomal RNA, 497 nt
Filed under: uncultured bacterium
Lineage: Bacteria
Description: partial 16S ribosomal RNA
Rfam family: Bacterial small subunit ribosomal RNA
Source: RNAcentral
GAUGAACGCUGGCGGCGUGCCUAAUACAUGCAAGUCGAGCGAACGGACGAGAAGCUUGCUUUUCUGAUGUUAGCGGCGGACGGGUGAGUAACACGUGGAUAACCUACCUAUAAGACUGGGAUAACUUCGGGAAAACGGAGCUAAUACCAGAUAAUAUUUUGAACCGCAUGGUUCAAAAGUGAAAGACGGUCUUGCUGUCACUUAUAGAUGGAUCCGCGCUGCAUUAGCUAGUUGGUAAGGUAACGGCUUACCAAGGCAACGAUGCAUAGCCGACCUGAGAGGGUGAUCGGCCACACUGGAACUGAGACACGGUCCAGACUCCUACGGGAGGCAGCAGUAGGGAAUCUUCCGCAAUGGGCGAAAGCCUGACGGAGCAACGCCGCGUGAGUGAUGAAGGUCUUCGGAUCGUAAAACUCUGUUAUUAGGGAAGAACAUAUGUGUAAGUAACUGUGCACAUCUUGACGGUACCUAAUCAGAAAGCCCCGGCUAACUACGUG